UGCUUUGCGUAUGUGAUCUUUCAUUAUCGCAAAACGCCACAAUUUUGAUUUUGGCAUUUGGUUUUUGGCAUUGUGCAUGUAAACUAAACGGUGAAAAU
This is a long non-coding RNA of Maniola jurtina (meadow brown), 98 nucleotides long. RefSeq lists it as uncharacterized. The transcript is spliced from 3 exons. The record is from RefSeq and is a predicted model, not a curated record. Lineage: Eukaryota; Metazoa; Arthropoda; Insecta; Lepidoptera; Nymphalidae.